Molecule: ribosomal RNA, 475 nt
Filed under: Haematococcus lacustris
Lineage: Eukaryota; Viridiplantae; Chlorophyta; Chlorophyceae; Chlamydomonadales; Haematococcaceae
Description: SSU rRNA
Rfam family: Bacterial small subunit ribosomal RNA
Source: RNAcentral
GCAAGAUCAGCCCCGCGGUAAUACAGGGGGAGCAAGCGUUAUCCGGAAUGAUUGGGCGUAAAGCGUCUGUAGGUGGUUUCAAAAGUCUACUGUCAAAUAAGUUGGCUCAACCAGCAUAGGGCAGUGGAGUACUAUGAAACUAGAGUGCGGUAGAGGUAGAGGGAAUUCCUAGCGUAACAGUGAAAUGUGUAGAUUUUAGGGAGAACACCAGCGGCGAAGGCGCUCUACUGGGCCGUGACUGACACUGAGAGACGAAAGCUAAGGGAGAGAAAAGGAUUAGAUACCCUUGUAUUCUUAGCUGUAAACGAUGGAAACUAAGUGGGGGCUGCAAAGCCGCCCCUGCUGUAGCUAACGCGUUAAGUUUCCCGCCUGGGGAGUACAAUCGCAAGAGUGAAACUCAAAGGAAUUGACGGGGACUUGCACAAGCGGUGGAUUCUGUGGUUUAAUUUGAUGCUACGCGAAGAACCUUAAUGGC